UAUAGUUGGAAAGGCACCAGCACAAAGCCAAGCGCUGAAAAGUGCUUCCUUAUAGCAAUAAUUAAAAAUAUUUGCCACCUAAAAUACAAUUGUACGGAUAAGGACAUGAACAUGGUUUUUCAAAAAUUUUUCGUACAUGCCAUGUUAAUAAAAGAAAGCGUGUGAAUUAGUUUAGUUUUUAUUGAUAUUAUUUGUUAAAUUUAAAUUAUUG
Drosophila sulfurigaster albostrigata is the source of this 211-nucleotide long non-coding RNA. RefSeq lists it as uncharacterized. The transcript is spliced from 3 exons. The record is from RefSeq and is a predicted model, not a curated record. NCBI's taxonomy places the organism in Eukaryota, Metazoa, Arthropoda, Insecta, Diptera, Drosophilidae.